Molecule: ribosomal RNA, 429 nt
Filed under: Bacteroidota bacterium
Lineage: Bacteria; Pseudomonadati; Bacteroidota
Description: Bacteroidetes bacterium partial 16S ribosomal RNA
Rfam family: Bacterial small subunit ribosomal RNA
Source: RNAcentral
UAGGGAAUCUUCCGCAAUGGACGCAAGUCUGACGGAGCAACGCCGCGUGAGUGAAGAAGGAUUUCGGUUCGUAAAACUCUGUUGUUAGAGAAGAACAGCGCAUAGAGUAACUGUUAUGCGUGUGACGGUAUCUAACCAGAAAGCCACGGCUAACUACGUGCCAGCAGCCGCGGUAAUACGUAGGUGGCAAGCGUUGUCCGGAUUUAUUGGGCGUAAAGCGAGCGCAGGCGGUCAAUUAAGUCUGAUGUGAAAGCCCCCGGCUCAACCGGGGAGGGUCAUUGGAAACUGAUUGACUUGAGUGCAGAAGAGGAGAGUGGAAUUCCAUGUGUAGCGGUGAAAUGCGUAGAUAUAUGGAGGAACACCAGUGGCGAAGGCGACUCUCUGGUCUGUAACUGACGCUGAGGUUCGAAAGCGUGGGUAGCAAACAGG